Molecule: unclassified non-coding RNA, 203 nt
Filed under: Hevea brasiliensis (rubber tree)
Lineage: Eukaryota; Viridiplantae; Streptophyta; Magnoliopsida; Malpighiales; Euphorbiaceae
Source: RNAcentral
AGAAGAAGAGAAGGGAAGAGGGAGGAAAGAUGGCUGGAUUGUUAGAGUUUCUCUAGCACAAAAGGACACCAACAAGGGGAAAAGAAAGAGAGUGGUCUGAAAAGCAAAAAAAUUGUGAGACAAAUGGAGAAGAUGGUGAAUAGGAGCAGAAACAGGAGUUGAGCAGGGGCAGUAAAUUUGUCUUCCUUCUAGGUGAGUUUGGU